CCUCGCCUGUUUAUCAAAAACAUGUCCUUUUGUUUUUAAUUUAAGGUCUGACCUGCCCACUGAAAUUUAUUUUAAAGGGCCGCGGUAUUUUGACCGUGCAAAGGUAGCAUAAUCAUUAGUCUUUUAAUUGAAGGCUAGAAUGAAUGGUUGGACGAGGUAUUGACUGUCUCUGUACAAAUGAAAUUAGAAUUUAACUUUUAAGUGAAAAGGCUUAAAUUUUAUUAGAGGACGAGAAGACCCCAUAGAGCUUUAUAUUAACUUUAGUGUAAUUUGUUUAGUGGUUAUUUUAUUAUAUUAAAUUUAUUAUUUUGUUGGGGUGACAGGAAGAUACAAUAAACUCUUUUUAAUUAGUUAAACAUUUAUGAAUGAAUUUUUGAUCCAUUUUUAGUGAUUAUAAGUCUAAGUUACCUUGGGGAUAACAGCGUAAUCUUUUUCGAGAGUUCUUAUCGACAAAAAGGGUUGCGACCUCGAUGUUGGAUUAAGGGUAAUUUUGGGUGUAGAUGUUCAAAAUUUAGGUCUGUUCGACCUUUGAAUCCUUACAUGAUCUGAGUUCAAACCGGAGA
This 563-nucleotide ribosomal RNA is filed under the name Dinotoperla serricauda. RNAcentral describes it as "partial 16S ribosomal RNA". It matches the Rfam family "Bacterial large subunit ribosomal RNA", at positions 1794 to 2622 of the family's 2925-position model. Lineage: Eukaryota; Metazoa; Arthropoda; Insecta; Plecoptera; Gripopterygidae. The record is from RNAcentral.